GAUGAAGAACGCAGCGAAUUGCGAUAAGUAGUGUGAAUUGCAGAAUUCAGUGAAUCAUCGAAUCUUUGAACGCACAUUGCGCCCUUUGGUAUUCCUUAGGGCAUGCCUGUUCGAGCGUCAUUUAAACCUUCAAGCUAAGCUUGGUGUUGGGUGACUGUCCGCUUCACGGCGGACUCGCCUCAAAAUUAUUGGCGGCCGGUACAUUGGCUUCGAGCGCAGCAGAAACGCGAACUCGGGCCCGUCGUAUUGGCUCCCAGAAGCUAUCUUCACAAUUUUGACCUCGGAUCAGGUAGGGAUACCCGCUGAACUUAAGCAUAUCAAUAAGCGGAGGA
This 332-nucleotide unclassified non-coding RNA is filed under the name soil metagenome. Its description in RNAcentral is "partial contains 5.8S ribosomal RNA, internal transcribed spacer 2, and large subunit ribosomal RNA". The stretch from base 1 to 120 matches the Rfam family "5.8S ribosomal RNA", at positions 35 to 154 of the family's 154-position model. The record is from RNAcentral.